RNAcentral lists this ribosomal RNA (342 nucleotides) under uncultured bacterium. RNAcentral describes it as "bacterial SSU rRNA". It matches the Rfam family "Bacterial small subunit ribosomal RNA", at positions 28 to 360 of the family's 1533-position model. The record is from RNAcentral.
GACGAACGCUGGCGGCGUGCCUAAUACAUGCAAGUCGAACGGUCUUUUCUAUGGAAGCUUGCUUCCGCUGAGAAGAUAGUGGCGGACGGGUGAGUAACGCGUGGGGAACCUGCCCUAUACAGGGGGAUAACAGCUGGAAACGGCUGCUAAUACCGCAUAAGCGCACAGAAUCGCAUGAUUCAGUGUGAAAAGCCCUGGCAGUAUAGGAUGGUCCCGCGUCUGAUUAGCUGGUUGGUGAGGUAACGGCUCACCAAGGCGACGAUCAGUAGCCGGCUUGAGAGAGUGAACGGCCACAUUGGGACUGAGACACGGCCCAAACUCCUACGGGAGCAGCAGUGGGAA